Molecule: long non-coding RNA, 508 nt
Organism: Rhea pennata
Lineage: Eukaryota; Metazoa; Chordata; Aves; Rheiformes; Rheidae
Exons: 4
Source: RefSeq, a predicted model, not a curated record
GUGGAGGUGUUCACAUAUCAGCUAGGAAUCUCUUUCUGACACUUUGCUUUCCAGGUCAAACACGCUCAGGGCUUGCAAAAUGACAGGGUUGACAAAUGCCAGACCAUUUUGCUACAGCAUGAGCCAACAGUCGCUGGGGUAGGAGAGGAUCUCGCAGGGCUGAUAAAUUUUACCCUUUGCUGAAGCCACAGGUGUUCUGGAGCUGUUUGAAUGCUGAUGAGGAUCAUACAUGCUGUACUCCUGCUUUAGUUCCCUUUUGUUUGCCUUCUGUGAAGACAGAUGUAAUUACGGCUUUUAUUGCACUCUCGAUGGAUAAGAUAUGAGCUUCCCCAGGCAAUAAAAAACGAGUUGGGAAAGUUUGUCACUCGGGUUUCUGUUUCAGAGUGAUGGCAGCAGGAUGAGUCAGGCAACGCAACUGCAGAAUAAUGAAGCGCUCCUCUUUGGACUGUGGGCUAGCAAGUAAGCUACAACAAAGAAGAUUUCAUUAAUUUGGGCCAUGAAAGUGACA